This 441-nucleotide ribosomal RNA is filed under the name uncultured bacterium. RNAcentral describes it as "partial 16S ribosomal RNA". It matches the Rfam family "Bacterial small subunit ribosomal RNA", at positions 338 to 795 of the family's 1533-position model. The record is from RNAcentral.
CCUACGGGUGGCAGCAGUGGGGGAUAUUGCACAAUGGGGGGAACCCUGAUGCAGCGACGCCGCGUGGGUGAAGGAGUGCUUCGGCAUGUAAAGCCCUAUCGGCAGGGAAGAAGCAAGACGGUACCUGACUAAGAAGCCCCGGCUAACUACGGGCCAGCAGCCGCGGUAAUACGUAGGGGGCGAGGGGUAUCCGGAUUCCCUGGGGGUAAAGGGGGGGUAGACGGCCAUGCAAGCCAGGGGUGAAAGCCCGGGGCCCAACCCCGGGCCUGCCGUUGGAACUGUGCGGCUAGAGUGCGGGAGGGGCAGGCGGAAUUCCUGGUGUAGCGGUGAAAUGCGUAGAUAUCAGGAGGAACACCAGUGGCGAAGGCGGCCUGCUGGGCUCUAACUGACGCUGAGGCACGAAAGCGUGGGUAGCAAACAGGAUUAGAUACCCGGGUAGUC